RNAcentral lists this ribosomal RNA (450 nucleotides) under Streptomyces sp. MWW042. Its description in RNAcentral is "bacterial SSU rRNA". It matches the Rfam family "Bacterial small subunit ribosomal RNA", at positions 97 to 561 of the family's 1533-position model. The record is from RNAcentral. Lineage: Bacteria; Bacillati; Actinomycetota; Actinomycetes; Kitasatosporales; Streptomycetaceae.
GGCGAACGGGUGAGUAACACGUGGGCAAUCUGCCCUGCACUCUGGGACAAGCCCUGGAAACGGGGUCUAAUACCGGAUACGACCACUGAGGGCAUCCUCGGUGGUGGAAAGCUCCGGCGGUGCAGGAUGAGCCCGCGGCCUAUCAGCUUGUUGGUGGGGUGAUGGCCUACCAAGGCGACGACGGGUAGCCGGCCUGAGAGGGCGACCGGCCACACUGGGACUGAGACACGGCCCAGACUCCUACGGGAGGCAGCAGUGGGGAAUAUUGCACAAUGGGCGAAAGCCUGAUGCAGCGACGCCGCGUGAGGGAUGACGGCCUUCGGGUUGUAAACCUCUUUCAGCAGGGAAGAAGCGAGAGUGACGGUACCUGCAGAAGAAGCGCCGGCUAACUACGUGCCAGCAGCCGCGGUAAUACGUAGGGCGCGAGCGUUGUCCGGAAUUAUUGGGCGU